AAUGAUGGGCUGACCUUUCCACCUCGGCCAGGACUGCAGCGUCACUCACAGCAUGAACUGAAAGCUCAUCUCCUCACUAAACACUUCACAUUGCUCUCCACUCUGCCUUCCACCUCCACUUGCAUCUGAUUUGAAUCAUGCUUUACAAGAAAGGGGAAGUCCCAGGGUGGUUUUCUUCAUCCAGGCAUUGAAGACAGGAGCCUGUCAAAACCUCAGCUGGAGUCCAGCGAAGGUUCUCUGUGGCCUGGUCUUGCUCCCAGCAUGGCAGGACUGCAGCAGAGAAACCAAAGAGGAAUAUUCUGUCCUGGGGGAGAAGGAUCAAGCUUAUGUGGAAUUGACAACUUCCCCAAAGUGCAAUGUCAUACGGAGUCAUCUUCACUCCUCACCCCUCUCCCCCACCAUCCGCCCUCUCCCCUCU
Dicentrarchus labrax (European seabass) is the source of this 418-nucleotide long non-coding RNA. RefSeq lists it as uncharacterized. The record is from RefSeq and is a predicted model, not a curated record. The transcript is spliced from 3 exons. Lineage: Eukaryota; Metazoa; Chordata; Actinopteri; Moronidae.